CCCUCAGUCGGUGCUGGAGCCUCUGCGCGGCAACAUCGCUCCCUUAGACACACUUGUUUAAAUUUAAACGAAAGGCAGCACGAGGCAGGCGGGCAGCACGGCAAACGCAACCCAGAAGAGGUAACGAGUAGCAAACUUGUCACCCUCAAGCUGGCUUUUACACAGAGCUGUUUGGAAACGGGAGGGUGGAGCUGGCACCGCUGGGGCAGUGGUUUCAGAAAAGCUCUUCUGUAGCUACUCAGGGAAAAAACUGCUGGAUCAUGUUGGUAUUUUUAUAAGUAACUCGAUGCGUGGUUCUAUUUUGGAUACCAACUAUGCAGCAAUGCAGACUGAUUUGAGAAAAUUGCAGGGGGAGGAAGAGAAAAGGAAGAUCCCCUUACAGAACAAGGGCUGCAGACUCCAGGGAAACCUCUUGAACCUUCAGGGGCUCAGUUUAACCAUGUGCCUUUUAAGAUAAGUUUUUAAAAGCCACUUAGAUUUUAUAAGGAAGAGAAAAUAAUGGUUAAUUGUGAUUGUGAUAUGUGAAGGAGUUGAACCAAACCAAUUAAAAAUCUUCAUCGUGA
Long non-coding RNA from Parus major (Great Tit), 563 nucleotides. RefSeq lists it as uncharacterized. The transcript has 2 exons. NCBI's taxonomy places the organism in Eukaryota, Metazoa, Chordata, Aves, Passeriformes, Paridae. The record is from RefSeq and is a predicted model, not a curated record.